AUUGAACGCUGGCGGCAUGCCUUACACAUGCAAGUCGAACGGCAGCACGGGAGCAAUCCUGGUGGCGAGUGGCGAACGGGUGAGUAAAGUAUCGGAACGUGCCCAGUCGUGGGGGAUAACGUAGCGAAAGCUACGCUAAUACCGCAUACGAUCUAUGGAUGAAAGCGGGGGAUCGCAAGACCUCGCGCGAUUGGAGCGGCCGAUAUCAGAUUAGGUAGUUGGUGGGGUAAAGGCGCACCAAGCCGACGAUCUGUAGCUGGACUGAGAGGACGGGCAGCCACACUGGGACUGAGAGCCGGCCCAGACUCCUACGGGGGGCAGCAGUGGGGAAUUUUGGACAAUGGGCGCAAGCCUGAUCCAGCCAUGCCGCGUGCAGGAUGAAGGCCUUCGGGUUGUAAACUGCUUUUGUACGGAACGAAAAGGUUUGACUUAAUACGUUGGACUCAUGACGGUACCGUAAGAAUAAGCACCGGCUAACUACGUGCCAGCCGCCGCCGUAA
This 500-nucleotide ribosomal RNA is filed under the name uncultured bacterium. Its description in RNAcentral is "partial 16S ribosomal RNA". It matches the Rfam family "Bacterial small subunit ribosomal RNA", at positions 30 to 523 of the family's 1533-position model. The record is from RNAcentral.